Long non-coding RNA from Patella vulgata (common limpet), 1152 nucleotides. RefSeq lists it as uncharacterized. The record is from RefSeq and is a predicted model, not a curated record. NCBI's taxonomy places the organism in Eukaryota, Metazoa, Mollusca, Gastropoda, Patellidae. The transcript has 5 exons.
GAGGAGACCCAUAGAUUUAAGAUUUGAGAAGAUAUGGUCGAGAAAUAAAAGGUGUCUGGUUCCUUUGACACUCUCACGGGCGUGAGAAGUUCUCAAACUUAUAACCUAUGGUAUGGAGGAGACCCAUAGAUUUAAGAUUUGAGAAGGUAUGGUCGAGAAAUAAAAGGUGUCUGGUUCCUUUGAGAAGUUCUCAAACUUAUAGCCUAUGGGUGGAGGAGACCCAUAGAUUUAAGAUUAGAGAAGGUAUGGUCGAGAAAUAAAAGGUCGGUGUACUGCCUACCGACUAUCACGGUCACGAAAACCGGAGAACUCCGCUUGGCUCUCCGGGACGAUGUGGACGAGCUGUGAGAAAUGCGUGGUACAUCGGAUUCCCUCUGAGUACAGUGCUGAGGAGUUAAUGCUCAUGUAAAGUCACAGGCAGCGAAGCGGUCGGAAGGCGGGGGAUCGUUGAGCCCGAUCACUCGUCCAGUCACCGCACACUUUCGUACGAUCCAAGACGCGAGACGGUGGAGAACGGUAGGCAGGGGAUCAUUUAGCCCACAGUUCUCUCUCUAGAAGGCAACGAAGCGGUCGGAAGGCGGGGGAUUGUUGAGCCCGAUCUCUCGUCCAGUCACCGCGCACUUUCGUACGAUCCAAGACUCGAUGGAGAUGGUGGAGCGAGGCCGACCCGGGGACGAAAACGGGGUGUGGAGAACUCCGCUUGGAUUUCUGGGACGAGGUGGACAUGGAUGUUCCAGCUUUCACAAGACGAUGGCUUCAUGGUAGUUGUUCUGUGGAUUUUUAAUGCCGUUAACGUAAAUUGCAAAUUUCUCAUGAGUCCAGUAAAGAUAACCUUGUAUAACGUGUUUCUAUGAUAAACUUAGAUGUAUUGUUGAUAGUGGGGUCUAGAGAGUUUACGGAUACAGUGACGGCGCCGGUUAAAGUACAUAUACUGUAAUUGGAUGCAGUCUGGAAAUUUAGAAUGUACAGAACGUGAAACUGAAUAAUCCUCCUCUCUUACAUGAUCGUGGGGACGCAGAGCAUAUUAUACAUGGAGGUAUUGUACAGUCAAUGCAAUUGAUGAGGACCACAACAAUGUUAAGGCGCCGAAUGAUCAAUACGAUGAUGAUUACCACGGUUAUAGGACACAGACAGGGGAGGUAUUAAUAGCAU